GCCAGCGUGGCGUAGUGGUUUGAGCGUUGCACUAUGACUUUGGAGACCAGGGUUUGAUUUCCAGCUCGGUCA
Molecule: non-coding RNA, 72 nt
Organism: Phrynosoma platyrhinos (Desert horned lizard)
Lineage: Eukaryota; Metazoa; Chordata; Lepidosauria; Squamata; Phrynosomatidae
Source: the annotation of a GenBank genome assembly